AUAUCUCUCCGUACGGGAAGGAUGAGAAGCUUCGACUAAGGUUCGAUUCGAGCGCAGCGAGAACGCGUUGCCGCAGGCAACGACCCGAAGGGCGAAGCGCGCAGCGCUG
Molecule: small RNA, 109 nt
Filed under: Salmonella enterica
Lineage: Bacteria; Pseudomonadati; Pseudomonadota; Gammaproteobacteria; Enterobacterales; Enterobacteriaceae
Also listed under: 4 other names
Description: partial RtT sRNA
Rfam family: RtT RNA
About the family: This family represents a bacterial cis-regulatory element known as RtT RNA. The exact function of RtT is unknown although it is thought that it may be involved in changing the cellular response in relation to amino acid starvation.
Source: RNAcentral